This 266-nucleotide ribosomal RNA is filed under the name uncultured Streptomyces sp. RNAcentral's name for it is "partial 16S ribosomal RNA". It matches the Rfam family "Bacterial small subunit ribosomal RNA", at positions 505 to 770 of the family's 1533-position model. Lineage: Bacteria; Bacillati; Actinomycetota; Actinomycetes; Kitasatosporales; Streptomycetaceae. The record is from RNAcentral.
GUGCCAGCCGCUGCGGUAAUACGUAGGGCGCAAGCGUUGUCCGGAAUUAUUGGGCGUAAAGAGCUCGUAGGCGGCUUGUCACGUCGGUUGUGAAAGCCCGGGGCUUAACCCCGGGUCUGCAGUCGAUACGGGCAGGCUAGAGUUCGGUAGGGGAGAUCGGAAUUCCUGGUGUAGCGGUGAAAUGCGCAGAUAUCAGGAGGAACACCGGUGCGAAGGCGGAUCUCUGGGCCGAUACUGACGCUGAGGAGCGGAAAGCGGUGGGAGCG